CCAGCAUGCUCUUUUUUUUGAAAGAAGAACUAUAAGAACAGUUUCCUUUUAACACAAUAUCAAAUUUCUAGAUGUUCUAUACUAGAAUUCCAGUGGAAACUGAAAAUUGACAUGACUCCAUUGUAAACUAACCCUUAAGUUUAAAUAAAACAAACUUUAUAAGAAUAUAA
Leptopilina boulardi is the source of this 170-nucleotide long non-coding RNA. RefSeq lists it as uncharacterized. The transcript is spliced from 2 exons. Lineage: Eukaryota; Metazoa; Arthropoda; Insecta; Hymenoptera; Figitidae. The record is from RefSeq and is a predicted model, not a curated record.